RNAcentral lists this ribosomal RNA (509 nucleotides) under uncultured methanogenic archaeon. Its description in RNAcentral is "bacterial SSU rRNA". It matches the Rfam family "Archaeal small subunit ribosomal RNA", at positions 23 to 537 of the family's 1478-position model. The record is from RNAcentral. Lineage: Archaea; Methanobacteriati; Methanobacteriota.
GUUACUGCUAUCGAGGUUCGACUAAGCCAUGCGAGUCGAAUGUAGCAAUACAUGGCGUACUGCUCAGUAACACGUGGAUAACCUACCCUUAGGACAGGGAUAAACCCGGGAAACUGGGUAUAAUACCCGAUAGAUCUCGAAUGCUGGAAUGCCUCGAGAUCGAAAGCUCCGGCGCCUAAGGAUGGAUCUGCGGCCUAUCAGGUAGUAGUGGGUGUAGCGUACCUACUAGCCUACGACGGGUACGGGUUGUGAGAGCAAGAGCCCGGAGAUGGAUUCUGAGACACGAAUCCAGGCCCUACGGGGUGCAGCAGGCGCGAAAACUUUACAAUGCCGGCAACGGCGAUAAGGGGACCUCGAGUGCCAGGUUACAAAUCUGGCUGUCGAGAUGCCUAAAAAGCAUUUCAUAGCAAGGGCCGGGCAAGACCGGUGCCAGCCGCCGCGGUAACACCGGCGGCUCGAGUGGUAACCGUUAUUAUUGGGUCUAAAGGGUCUGUAGCCGGCCGGAUAAG